GUGGGGUCGUUGUCUCGUUUUGAUCGGUCUUUGUAAUGCGUCCCGACGGAGCAAGCCGAGAGGCCUGCGCAAGUUCUCUUAUACAGUCUUCUUUACAGUUACAAGCCUGCUCGGCCACAUCCAUCUCUAAGCCGCGUGGGACCUGUAGCUCUCUAGGGAUAACUCGUACGAGGCGUUUGGAGCUAACUACUCAACAACUUCCAUUAUUUUCCUCGGUUACCGUACGGCCACGACAAGUACGGGUGGUCACUGCCGGCCGACCGUCGUCACCGGCAUCUGCCGGAAGUCUCAAACUACGGGCGGUUUGCGCUCCCGUCGCUGGGACAGUUUUUCCUCCUCCUCCUAAAGGCACGGACGAACAAACAGGACUGUAGUGAUCAACGAUGACAGUGGAAGCGGCGUCCCGAGUGAGGUGGGCCACCGAAGACCCGCCUACUGUUGCCCAUGCACCGACCAUGGGGCUAAUACGCUCUAUUUAAAUCGUCUUCCAUGAAGGACAAAGUCAUGACGUUGUGUACGCGGAAGAAGUGCAGGAAUGCUAGUAACGCAGCGAGCGGUUCUUGACCUUAUAGCUCUUCUAGUACUGAUAAGGUAAGUGUACGUAACAUCCUCAGACAAAAGACUCGUACCCUUAAUCGAAAUAGCGGCCGUGCACCUUGUCGUUGCGGCCGGGGUUUGUUGACACCGGACGGCAAAAACAGGAACGUUAAUUGUAACAGAUGUACUGCCCCCUAGCCUAAUUCCUUUACAAAAGGCCAUAUAUUAGAUCAUUAUCGACACCCCUGAGGGGCUUAGGCCACGAAUUCUCGAGGCGAGUCAUGAU
Molecule: ribosomal RNA, 823 nt
Filed under: Triticum aestivum (bread wheat)
Lineage: Eukaryota; Viridiplantae; Streptophyta; Magnoliopsida; Poales; Poaceae
Description: partial small subunit ribosomal RNA
Source: RNAcentral